Molecule: long non-coding RNA, 1608 nt
Organism: Equus asinus (donkey)
Lineage: Eukaryota; Metazoa; Chordata; Mammalia; Perissodactyla; Equidae
Source: Ensembl
GUGAACUGAGGUACAAAGAGAUUAUUACUUGUUUAAGCCCUGCCUUGGGUAAACAGCAGAGCCAGAAUUUGAAUCCAGUUAUUUGAGUACAUGGCUCAGAAUUGGAGCCUCAGACUGGCUCCCAAGUCUGUGCUUAGUCACUAUGUUGUUGUAGGUACCUAAUAUGGCAAUAUGGGUACUACAUAUGGGAGCAUAUGCCUGGGGCACCAAGCCAGUCAGAUGUGAGCUGUGGAUUCAGGGAAAGUCUGUCAGAGUUCAGAGACAUCUCAGCUGAGAUCUGAAGGGUCUGAAGAACUGUUGCCCAAUUCAACAGUGCCAGCAUUCCAACUUUGUUAAACCUACCAACAUCUUAAAUGGACUUUCUGUGGUGGUACCCUUUAAGAGGCGGAUGAAAGCUACUACAUCAGUUUGCACAUUCUAAUCACUUCCCAGUAUCACAAGAGAGAUUUUUACUUAUAUAAUAGUCCUAGAGUAUGCAGCUGGUAAAACCAGAGGCUACGAUCCAGUAUUACUGCUAAGAGACAUUUUCAUCCACCAAUGUUGUACAUGUAUGAAAAUGGUGUACUGUAUACUUUACACGCCCCAUACUUUGUAUUGGAGAGUACAAUAAUGUAAAUCUUAAAAGCACCACUAUUUUAGCAUAAUAAAAGAAAGUCCAAAGAGCUCCUAUAUAGACUACUCCAGAUAACUUCGCUUCUUUGAUACUUGUAGCUUAUUGUAAUUUUUUUUAAGAAAUUCAAGGUCAUUAUCAUUGUAUUGUACAAAUAAGCGCUUUGAUUAACACAGCUAUAUAGUUUUUUUAAUUUUUAAAAAUCCUGUGGAGACAGUGAUCUUGUCUUUAAAAUAUGAUAGUCCUUUCAGUCUAAUGUCUUAGAUUAAAGACGUUGCCUUUAAUAUCUGUUGGGAAGGAAAUGUCCAGACUUUUCAAAUCUCUUAUUAUAUGUUUCCUUUUUUGUUUACAUAGGGAACAGUGUUUAUAGUUGUGUGUACAGUGGGGGUCUACAACAAGAAGUGUAUAUUUUCAAACAAUUUUUUAAUGAUUUAACAAUUUUUGUAAAUCAUUUUCAGGCUUCUGCAGCUGUAGAUUCUCACUGUGAAUCCCUUGCUUGCUCAUGCAUAAGUGUAUUUGCAAUACCAAAUAUACAGGUUUAGUAUUUUUGCCUGUUAGUGAUUGUUUCACAUGUGUAACGUUUUGGUUGAGAUGUUAAAUGGUGGACGAGUACUGUGGAUGUGAAUGUGGGAAGUAAUUUUAAUCAUGUGUAAUUGGUCACAAGGCCUGAGUUGCAGUAAUAUUGCUGUUUUAUUUAACAAUGCCUUGUUGCUUUGUAUGCAUUAACGUUUGGGUGUAAAGAUUGUGUGUCUAUCCAACAGGGAGCCACAGUAUUUAAAUUGACCAACCUGAUGUUACAACUCCUUUGAGGUGGCCAAAUGUAAACUAAAAGCCUUAAUUAAAGUGGUGCAAUUUUGUAUAACUAGCAUCAGUAGUUCAAUAAAUUUGGAUUGCCAUGCAAGGGCUUGCAUUAUAAUUACUUGCCACUUGAAUGUGUUUUGUGUAAUGUUUAACAGUGCUAGUAAAUAAAUAUGGGUUUAACUUCUUUUUAAAUAGAA